RNAcentral lists this ribosomal RNA (466 nucleotides) under uncultured bacterium. RNAcentral's name for it is "partial 16S ribosomal RNA". It matches the Rfam family "Bacterial small subunit ribosomal RNA", at positions 28 to 507 of the family's 1533-position model. The record is from RNAcentral.
GACGAACGCUGGCGGCGUGCUUAACACAUGCAAGUCGUGCGGUAAGGCCCUUUCGGGGGUACACGAGCGGCGCACGGGUGAGUAACACGUGAGCAACCUGCCCUUCACUUUGGGAUAACUGCCGGAAACGGUGGCUAAUACCGGAUAUGACUUCCUCACGCAUGUGGGGUGGUGGAAAGCCUUCGGGUGGUGGGGGAUGGGCUCGCGGGCUAUCAGCUUGUUGGUGGGGUGAUGGCCUACCAAGGCUUCGACGGGUAGCCGGCCUGAGAGGGUGACCGGCCACCCUGGGCCUGAGAGAGGGCGCAGUGUGGUACAGGAGACAGCAGGGGGAAAUAUGGUACAAUGGUCGCGCGCCUGAUACAGCGGCGCCGCGUGUGGGAUGACGUCUUUCGGGGUGUGAAACGCUUUAGGUUGCUACGCAGCGGUUGUGACGGUAGCAAAAAAAGAAGCACCGGCUAACUUCGUG